This 468-nucleotide ribosomal RNA is filed under the name uncultured bacterium. Its description in RNAcentral is "partial 16S ribosomal RNA". It matches the Rfam family "Bacterial small subunit ribosomal RNA", at positions 28 to 507 of the family's 1533-position model. The record is from RNAcentral.
GAUGAACGCUGGCGGCGUGCUUAACACAUGCAAGUCGAACGGAAAGGCCCAAGCUUGCUUGGGUACUCGAGUGGCGAACGGGUGAGUAACACGUGGGUGAUCUGCCCUGCACUUCGGGAUAAGCCUGGGAAACUGGGUCUAAUACCGGAUAGGACGAUGGUUUGGAUGCCAUUGUGGAAAGUUUUUUGGGUGUGGGAUGAGCUCGCGGCCUAUCAGCGUGUUGGUGGGGUAAUGGCCUACCAAGGCGUCGACGGGUAGCCGGCCUGAGAGGGGGUACGGCCACAUUGGGACUGAGAGACGGCCCAGACUCCUACGGGAGGCAGAAGUGGGGAAUAUUGCACAAUGGGGGCAAGCCUGAUGCAGCGACGCCGCGUGGGGGAUGACGGCCUUUGGGGUGUAAACUCCUUUCGCUAGGGACGAAGCGUUUUUGUGACGGUACCUGGAGAAGAAGCACCGGCUAACUACGUG